Molecule: ribosomal RNA, 493 nt
Filed under: uncultured bacterium
Lineage: Bacteria
Description: bacterial SSU rRNA
Rfam family: Bacterial small subunit ribosomal RNA
Source: RNAcentral
GAUGAACGCUAGCGGCAGGCCUAAUACAUGCAAGUCGAACGGAUAUAUGUUUUUCGGAAUAUAUAUUAGUGGCGCACGGGUGAGUAACACGUACAUAACUUGCCCUCAAGCGGGGGAUAGCCUUGGGAAACUGAGAGUAAUACCCCAUAGAAUUAUUGGACGGCAUCGUUUGAUAAUUAAAACUACGGUGCUUGGGGAUAGAUGUGCGUCUGAUUAGCUAGUUGGUGAGGUAACUGCUCACCAAGGCGACGAUCAGUAGGGGGCGUGAGAGCGUGGCCCCCCACACGGGUACUGAGACACGGACCCGACUCCUACGGGAGGCAGCAGUAAGGAUAUUGGUCAAUGGAGGAACUCUGAACCAGCCAUGCCGCGUGAAGGAUGACGGCCCUCUGGGUUGUAAACUUCUUUUGGAUGGGGCGAAAAAACGGGAUUUAUCCUGGACUGACGGUACCAUCAGAAUAAGCACCGGCUAACUCCGUGCCAGCAGCCGCGG